RNAcentral lists this transfer RNA (58 nucleotides) under Canis lupus familiaris (dog). The record is from Rfam by way of RNAcentral. RNAcentral also lists the same sequence under 2 other names. Lineage: Eukaryota; Metazoa; Chordata; Mammalia; Carnivora; Canidae.
CCCUGGGUGGCUCAGUGGUAGAGCGUCUGCCUUAGGCUCAGGUUGUGAUCCCCAGGGU